RNAcentral lists this ribosomal RNA (468 nucleotides) under uncultured bacterium. RNAcentral describes it as "partial 16S ribosomal RNA". It matches the Rfam family "Bacterial small subunit ribosomal RNA", at positions 28 to 507 of the family's 1533-position model. The record is from RNAcentral.
GACGAACGCUGGCGGCGUGCUUAACACAUGCCAGUCGAACGGAAAGGCCCUGCUUUUGUGGGGUGCUCGAGUGGCGAACGGGUGAGUAACACGUGAGUAACCUGCCCUUGACUUUGGGAUAACUUCAGGAAACUGGGGCUAAUACCGGAUAGGAGCUCCUGCUGCAUGGUGGGGGUUGGAAAGUUUCGGCGGUUGGGGAUGGACUCGCGGCUUAUCAGCUUGUUGGUGGGGUAGUGGCUUACCAAGGCUUUGACGGGUAGCCGGCCUGAGAGGGUGAGCGGCCACAUUGGGACUGAGAUACGGCCCAGUCUCCUACGGGAGGCAGCAGUGGGGAAUAUUGCACAAUGGGCGGAAGCCUGAUGCAGCAACGCCGCGUGCGGGAUGACGGCCUUCGGGUUGUAAACCGCUUUCGCCUGUGACGAAGCGUGAGUGACGGUAAUGGGUAAAGAAGCACCGGCUAACUACGUG